This 676-nucleotide long non-coding RNA is filed under the name Homo sapiens (human). RNAcentral describes it as "MYO3B antisense RNA 1". The record is from RNAcentral. Lineage: Eukaryota; Metazoa; Chordata; Mammalia; Primates; Hominidae.
AGAUCAGCCCUGGGGUUCAGAGGGAUCCUGACAGCUACUCCUCAAGAUCCUCUCUGUUGUGAUUCAUCCCCCCGGGGCCCUACAGUUUCUCCUUCCUGACUCUUACAUUUCUUUGGAUGGCAUCAUUAUUUACCUGUCUCCUCCCAUAGUUAGGUGCCAAGCACUGUGGAUUCUGCCUCUCAGUGUCCAGACACCCAUUUUCCUUCCCACUGUUCCUUCCCCAUGGAGAAGCCUGUGGCUGGCUGACAGCAGAGAGAGAUGCUCAACUUGGAGAAGGUGUUACCUGGGCCAGGUGGGGAAGGUUUGUUUGCAGAGCAAAGAAGUGAAGGAAGUAUUAACCCUUUGCAUGGCCUCCUGAGAAUCCGACAAGACGUAAAUAGCCAAGAAUAUCUGUGAAACUUCAUCACUGAGUUACAAUAUUUAUCACUCCUAUUCAACGUGAAAAAGAUGAGGAUGAAGACCUUUAUUAUGAUCCACUUCCAAGUAAUGAACACACUGGAGAAAGUCAGACAGUCAAAACAAUGUCCCAGACUCCGUGAAGUUCCUGGGUAGAGAAGGAGACAGACAUAUACCAUACCUAAUAAUUGGAUGUCCGAGAGAAUGAGAGAAUGGCAGAAAGAACUUUAGAGCAUGGGUAUGAUGGCUAGAGCUUGAGCAGCCAUUGUGGACAUCAGAU